CAGUGCACACAAUAUGAACUAAGUAAUAUAGAAAGAGGAGAGAUGAAAGAUUGAGAGUUUACCAAUAGUUUAACCUAGCAAGGUCAUCUUGUCUCUAGUGGAUACUUUUAUGUAUUUAAGUAAUAAGUAUGUUAUAUAUAUGUGCCACAUAUGAGUUUGUUAGGAACCUAUAAAAGCGGUGGUAGUAACUUCAUCGUAACGUCUUUCUUCGCCAGCCAUCUGACUGAGGAGAGGUUUAAGUUAUAUUUCUUCACAAAAACGAAGAAUUGAUCACCGUCCGCCGAUAUGUCGUACAAAACAGUAAUCUUGUGUUGUUUGCUACUUGCGGUAUUUUUUGUUGCAUCGGCACCAAUUGAUUCAGAUCCCACAGACACAAGAAAGAGAGAUGACAUUCCGUCAAUUGGUGAUCCAGAUGACUUCUUAAAGUUAAAACUAUUAAAAAUUAUACUUCUUAAAACAGCACUUUUAGGUUAAAAAUGUAUUAUAUUUUAAUCUAAACAUCGACUGAGAUAAUCUUAUCUAUAUUUAUUUUAUGUUUAAAAAUUCAUUAAAUAAUUUUUCAUAAUUGCAUUUACUAUACUAUGAUCAUAUACCUAUAAUAUUCUUUUAAUAUUUGAUUUUUGUGAUUUUUUUCUACAGAUUAUUGAUUAAUACGUUACGUUAAAAUUACCUAAUUAUAUUUUCAUAUAAUUAACA
Metopolophium dirhodum (rose-grain aphid) is the source of this 696-nucleotide long non-coding RNA. RefSeq lists it as uncharacterized. Lineage: Eukaryota; Metazoa; Arthropoda; Insecta; Hemiptera; Aphididae. The record is from RefSeq and is a predicted model, not a curated record. The transcript has 2 exons.